RNAcentral lists this non-coding RNA (83 nucleotides) under Gimesia maris. Lineage: Bacteria; Pseudomonadati; Planctomycetota; Planctomycetia; Planctomycetales; Planctomycetaceae. The record is from RNAcentral.
CUAGUGACUUUGCAAAAAGUCGCGAUGUCGCUUCAGAAGUCAGCCGAGGCCAUAGUAGCGUUGCGCUGAACAGCGUGAAGGGC